Molecule: ribosomal RNA, 514 nt
Filed under: uncultured bacterium
Lineage: Bacteria
Description: partial 16S ribosomal RNA
Rfam family: Bacterial small subunit ribosomal RNA
Source: RNAcentral
AACGAACGCUGCGGCGUGCCUAACACAUGCAAGUCGCACGAUGUUUAGGGGGCAACUCCUGAACAUAGUGGCGCACGGGUGAGUAACACGUAGGUAACCUACCCUUCACUGGGGAAUAACCUGUCGAAAGACGGGCUACUUCCGCAUACGUCCAAGACUACUCUGGUAGAUUUGGGGAAAGGCGGCCCGCAAGGGCUGUCGGUGAUGGAUGGGCCUGCGUACCAUUAGCGAGUGGGUGGGGUAAUGGCCUAACAAGGCGACGAUGGUUAGCUGGUCUGAGAGGAUGAUCAGCCACACUGGAACUGACACACGGUCCAGACUCCUACGGGAGGCAGUAGUGGGGAAUAUUGCGCAAUGGGCGAAAGCCUGACGCAACAACGCCGCGUGAGGGAUGAAGGUUCUCGGAUUGUAAACCUCUGUCGGGGGGACAAAAACUAUGCUGGCUAAUAUCCAGCGUAAUUGAUGGUACCCCCAAAGGAAGCACCGGCUAACUCCGUGCCAGCAGCCGCAGUAA